RNAcentral lists this ribosomal RNA (724 nucleotides) under Escherichia coli. RNAcentral describes it as "partial 23S ribosomal RNA". It matches the Rfam family "Bacterial large subunit ribosomal RNA", at positions 1917 to 2640 of the family's 2925-position model. Lineage: Bacteria; Pseudomonadati; Pseudomonadota; Gammaproteobacteria; Enterobacterales; Enterobacteriaceae. The record is from RNAcentral.
GCCCCGGUAAACGGCGGCCGUAACUAUAACGGUCCUAAGGUAGCGAAAUUCCUUGUCGGGUAAGUUCCGACCUGCACGAAUGGCGUAAUGAUGGCCAGGCUGUCUCCACCCGAGACUCAGUGAAAUUGAACUCGCUGUGAAGAUGCAGUGUACCCGCGGCAAGACGGAAAGACCCCGUGAACCUUUACUAUAGCUUGACACUGAACAUUGAGCCUUGAUGUGUAGGAUAGGUGGGAGGCUUUGAAGUGUGGACGCCAGUCUGCAUGGAGCCGACCUUGAAAUACCACCCUUUAAUGUUUGAUGUUCUAACGUGGACCCGUAAUCCGGGUUGCGGACAGUGUCUGGUGGGUAGUUUGACUGGGGCGGUCUCCUCCUAAAGAGUAACGGAGGAGCACGAAGGUUGGCUAAUCCUGGUCGGACAUCAGGAGGUUAGUGCAAUGGCAUAAGCCAGCUUGACUGCGAGCGUGACGGCGCGAGCAGGUGCGAAAGCAGGUCAUAGUGAUCCGGUGGUUCUGAAUGGAAGGGCCAUCGCUCAACGGAUAAAAGGUACUCCGGGGAUAACAGGCUGAUACCGCCCAAGAGUUCAUAUCGACGGCGGUGUUUGGCACCUCGAUGUCGGCUCAUCACAUCCUGGGGCUGAAGUAGGUCCCAAGGGUAUGGCUGUUCGCCAUUUAAAGUGGUACGCGAGCUGGGUUUAGAACGUCGUGAGACAGUUCGGUCCCUA